RNAcentral lists this ribosomal RNA (718 nucleotides) under uncultured bacterium. RNAcentral's name for it is "bacterial SSU rRNA". It matches the Rfam family "Bacterial small subunit ribosomal RNA", at positions 136 to 851 of the family's 1533-position model. The record is from RNAcentral.
CAGGGGGAUAACCCGGAGAAAUCCGGCCUAAUACCGCGUAACACCUUUUGGGAGCAUUCCCGGGAGGUUAAAGGAGAGAUCCGGCAUAGGAUGGACAUGCGUCGCAUUAGGUAGACGGCGGGGUAACGGCCCACCGUGCCGACGAUGCGUAGGGGUUCUGAGAGGAAGGCCCCCCACACUGGUACUGAGACACGGACCAGACUCCUACGGGAGGCAGCAGUGAGGAAUAUUGGUCAAUGGCCGAGAGGCUGAACCAGCCAAGUCGCGUGAGGGAAGAAUGUCCUAAGGAUUGUAAACCUCUUUUGUCGGGGAGCAAAAAGGCUCUGCGGAGUCGUAUUGAGAGUACCCGAAGAAAAAGCAUCGGCUAACUCCGUGCCAGCAGCCGCGGUAAUACGGAGGAUGCGAGCGUUAUCCGGAUUUAUUGGGUUUAAAGGGUGCGCAGGCGGCGUGUCAAGCAAGCGGUAAAAUAGCGGGGCUCAACCCCGUCGAGCCGUUUGAACUGGCGCGCUUGAGUUCAGGCGAGGUAGGCGGAAUUCGUGGUGUAGCGGUGAAAUGCAUAGAUAUCACGAAGAACUCCGAUUGCGAAGGCAGCUUACCAGUCUGCGACUGACGCUCAGGCACGAAAGUGUGGGUAUCGAACAGGAUUAGAUACCCUGGUAGUCCACACAGUAAACGAUGAGCGCUAGGUGUCCGGGUCGCAUGAGACUGGGUGCCCGAG